RNAcentral lists this ribosomal RNA (465 nucleotides) under Triticum aestivum (bread wheat). RNAcentral's name for it is "partial small subunit ribosomal RNA". Lineage: Eukaryota; Viridiplantae; Streptophyta; Magnoliopsida; Poales; Poaceae. The record is from RNAcentral.
AUGUAUGUCGACGGGAAUACCAUUUCGUUCGAGCCCGCUGAAAACCAUGGCCGCUCCGCUGCCCUGUUUGAGGAUGAUCUCACGGAGUUGGAGGCCAUCGGCUUCCCUCUUGAGCUCUGGCAUCCUUCGGGCAUCCACUUCAUCCUCAACUUUCUUGGUGAAAUCUUCCCCAUUGAUCAGUACUGUCUGCUAUCCGACGAGCGCACUUCCAUUCGGGCUCAUGUCGCUCUCUUCAAAGGAACCACUCUCCUCGAUGCUCUCACAGUCCAGCUCCCCAAUCUUGACAUCCUAGUUGUCCAACUACUUGAGCAUGGCAAGGUCUCUCGCAUUGGCCCUUGUGACCCAUCUCCUUUCUCCUCUGAUGCGGACUCGGACUCCGGUUCGGACUCUGCCUCCGACUCGGAUUUGCCUGCCCCGGAUCCCUCAGUCGGUCUCCACUGCGCCACCGCGGACCACCGUGGAUAA